ACGCUCGACACCUACGGUAGGCAGCAGUCGGGAAUAUUGCGCAAUGGAGGGAACUCUGACGCAGUGACGCCGCGUAUAGGAAGAAGGUUUUCGGAUUGUAAACUAUUGUCGUUAGGGAAGAGAAAGGACAGUACCUAAGGAGGAAGCUCCGGCUAACUACGUGUCAGCAGCCGCGGUAAUCUGAGGCGGGCUGGCAAGGC
This 200-nucleotide ribosomal RNA is filed under the name uncultured bacterium. RNAcentral describes it as "partial 16S ribosomal RNA". It matches the Rfam family "Bacterial small subunit ribosomal RNA", at positions 326 to 539 of the family's 1533-position model. The record is from RNAcentral.